UACGUAGGGGGCAAGCGUUGUCCGGAAUCAUUGGGCGUAAAGAGCGUGUAGGCGGCCCGGUAAGUCCGCUGUGAAAGUCGGGGGCUCAACCCUCGAAUGCCGAUGGAUACUGUCGGGCUAGAGUGCGGAAGAGGCGAGUGGAAUUCCUGGUGUAGCGGUGAAAUGCGCAGAUAUCAGGAGGAACACCGAUUGCGAAGGCAGCUCGCUGGGACGUAACUGACGCUGAGACGCGAAAGCGUGGGGAGCAAACAGG
Molecule: ribosomal RNA, 253 nt
Filed under: uncultured bacterium
Lineage: Bacteria
Description: partial 16S ribosomal RNA
Rfam family: Bacterial small subunit ribosomal RNA
Source: RNAcentral